Molecule: long non-coding RNA, 723 nt
Filed under: Zonotrichia albicollis (white-throated sparrow)
Lineage: Eukaryota; Metazoa; Chordata; Aves; Passeriformes; Passerellidae
Description: lncRNA (ENSZALG00000012065.1)
Source: RNAcentral
UUUUGCCUCCUUUUCUUGAAAUGGUGGGAUUACAGUGACUUGUCAGGUAAGAAAGCAUAAGAAUCUGAUUUUUAUUCAAAUUUUUAAAAAAUGGAAUAUUCAAAAUUUGGGCCAGAUCCUAGAAAUGUCUGUUUCUUUUUGGUUCUGGGAUAUGAAAAGGUGUCAUUUUCCCAUCACCAUGUUGAAAAUUUGGUCUGUUUCUUGACACUGUUUGAAUACAGGAAGAACUAAGUCAGAUACAGACCAAAAGGACCAUUUUCUCUGCCCUCAAAAGAUCCAAGUGAUGAUGAGACACAAGGUAAAGUGACUGUGACUUUACAGCCAAAGGGACACAAUCUCCAGAAGGCUCCAGCCAUUAUCUUGGUAAAAGAAACAGCAGCAUUCAGAUAUCUGCACUCCUCACAGCCUGGUUCAAAGCAAAAACCACCAGUCAUCUCUGACAGUCAUCCUGUGUUUUGUUCAGGUGCUUCCUACUCCUCAUGGUAUUCACAGCUUCAGGAGUUUCUCUUAGGCAAGACGUGCAGAACUGAACAUUUCCAGGAAGUGCUUUACAGGGACCAGCAAGAGGCAGAGUGCACUUCAAAUAUUUUACAGUGGCUGAAAUCCCACUCAUCAUUUCUCAGGUUUUCCUUACUGUUUUAUCAGACUGGAACUCCAGACGACUAACAACAAGCUUGCUUGUUUUGGACAGUAAAAUAAAGGAUGAAAAUGAAAGGUGGUACA